UUGGUGCAUGGCCGUUCUUAGUUGGUGGAGCGAUUUGUCUGGUUAAUUCCGAUAACGAACGAGACUCUAGCCUGCUAACUAGGCGUAUUUCCGACAUCUCAAAGGCCCGCCGGCCCGGCGUUCGCGUCGCGGUCGCGCGCGGUUUUUACUGUCGGCGUACAAACAACUCUUCUUAGAGGGACAGGCGGCUUCUAGCCGCACGAGAUUGAGCAAUAACAGGUCUGUGAUGCCCUUAGAUGGUCAU
RNAcentral lists this ribosomal RNA (244 nucleotides) under Elmidae sp. BOLD:ACG2421. RNAcentral's name for it is "partial 18S small subunit ribosomal RNA". It matches the Rfam family "Eukaryotic small subunit ribosomal RNA", at positions 1277 to 1482 of the family's 1831-position model. Lineage: Eukaryota; Metazoa; Arthropoda; Insecta; Coleoptera; Elmidae. The record is from RNAcentral.